UCCAAGAGCCUGAUUAAAGGUCUAUCGUGAUAGGAUAAAAUCUAGAUCCACAGAUCUACCUUCAUUACA
RNAcentral lists this transfer RNA (69 nucleotides) under Coptotermes formosanus (Formosan subterranean termite). RNAcentral describes it as "tRNA-Ile". The record is from RNAcentral. Lineage: Eukaryota; Metazoa; Arthropoda; Insecta; Blattodea; Rhinotermitidae.